CAGCCGCCGCGGGAAAACGAAGGGUGCAAGCGUUAAUCGGAAUUACUGGGCGUAAAGCGCACGUAGGCGGCUUGGUAAGUUAGAGGUGAAAGCCUGGAGCUCAACUCCAGAAUUGCCUUUAAGACUGCCGAGCUAGCAGGUGAGAGAGGUAAGUGGAAUUCCGAGUGUAGAGGUGAAAUUCGUAGAUAUUCAGAAGAACACCAGUGGCGAAGGCGGCUUACUGGCUCAUACUGGACGCUGAGGUGCGAAAGCGUGGGGAGCAAACAGGAUUAGAUACCCCCGUAGUCCCUGUCUCUUAUAA
This 301-nucleotide ribosomal RNA is filed under the name uncultured bacterium. RNAcentral's name for it is "partial 16S ribosomal RNA". It matches the Rfam family "Bacterial small subunit ribosomal RNA", at positions 509 to 809 of the family's 1533-position model. The record is from RNAcentral.